GGAGUGAUUUUUUUAAGGAUAAAAAGAGAGGAGUAUCUUUGAUCUUGGAGUUCUAUACAUGACUUCUUUCAUAACUUCACUAGACUUCUUUCAUAUCAUUCAUGUGAUUACCUUCAAAUAUCAUAUAGCUCUUACUUCUUUUCGGAUGAGUAUAAUUUGAUUGAUUUCAUGAGAAUUUCCAUGUGCAUGCUUAUUCGACUAAUGGCGU
Molecule: long non-coding RNA, 208 nt
Filed under: Panax ginseng (ginseng)
Lineage: Eukaryota; Viridiplantae; Streptophyta; Magnoliopsida; Apiales; Araliaceae
Description: long non-coding RNA (PGIN_LNC008445)
Source: RNAcentral